UAACAACUCACCUGCCGAAUGAAUUAGCCCUGAAAAUGGAUGGCGCUGAAGCGGGCGGCCGACACCGCGCCGUCUGGACGAGGUAAAGUUUCAGAUGAGUAGGAGGGCGUGGGGGCCGUAUCGAAGCAUGCGCGCGAGCGCGUGUGGAACGGCCUCUAGUGCAGAUCUUGGUGGUAGUAGCAAGUAUUCAAGCGAGAUCCUUGAAGGGCGAAGCGGGGAAGGGUUCCACGCGAACAUUGAUUGGGCGUGGGUGAGUCGUUCCUAAGCCGAGUGGCGAUUGCUAAGUAGCGGCGAAAGGGAAGCGGGUUGAAAUUCCCGCACACGGAUGUGGACGCGGUGACGCGACUGAUGGGGCGAAGACGCUGGCGACGGCGCUGGGCAGAGUUGUCUUUUCUGUUUGACCAGGUUUGCGCGCGCGGUGUGGAAUCCGCUUGUCGGGAGAAACACGCGUGUGUGGGCAGAGCGCCGGGGCUUUUCCGGCGUCCAGCUCGCCGUCGACGGCCCUUGAAAAUUUGCCUGCUGAAUGAAUUGGAGCUUUUUUUUGUUUUGGUUCUGAAAUCCACGCCGUGGCGUACCGAUCACCGCAUCAGGUCCCCAAGGUGAACAGCCUCUGCUCAGUAUGAAAAAU
This 628-nucleotide ribosomal RNA is filed under the name Eucheuma denticulatum. RNAcentral describes it as "eukaryotic LSU rRNA". It matches the Rfam family "Eukaryotic large subunit ribosomal RNA", at positions 1283 to 1900 of the family's 3401-position model. Lineage: Eukaryota; Rhodophyta; Florideophyceae; Gigartinales; Solieriaceae. The record is from RNAcentral.